GAGUACAGUGGCAUGAUCUUGGCUCGCUGCAAUCUCUGCCUCCUAGGUUCAAGCCAUUCUCCUGCCUCAGCUACUCAGAGUAGCUGUGACUACAGCUGCCUUCUCUACCAUCGCUGACCAUCCUUCACAUGCCUCCUGGCUUGACUUUCUAAGAAACCACCCACACACUGCUGCCCUUAGCCUUGCCAAUUACCUGCCUCCAUGUGGGCUCCCAGAGUGUGGAGAGGGUCUGCUCCAACUUCCAGAUGUAGGGGACUCUGGACCCAACUGAUGAAUGUGCUGUGAUCAAUGGAGCUGCCAGGUCCAUCAUGGUCCACCACAAAUGAGGACAGAACACAGGACACAAAUAAAAAGUUGGAAACUAUAGAAGUUUAAAUAAAUCGACCUUUCCCACCUGAGGAGGUGAAAUAAAACUUAGAUUCACUCCAUUUUGCUCAAAAUGUUUUUCUGGAUAAUAUUUUCACUCAAUUUGCCUGUCUACAGCCCCCAUUGUAUACUCUAUUAUCUAAAUAUAAGUUUGUGUUAGUCUAUCAUACCUUCUUCUGUAUUCUUUUACAUGUAUAUUCAACCAUUCAGCAAAGCUUUGUUGAGUGCCUAUCCUCUGUCAGGCACUAGGUCAGGUGCUGAGUGUACCCAGAUGUGUAAGAUCAGGGCUAUCUAUUGUAGCUUCACACAUGCAUCAAUUUUUCCCGGCCACAGGCUGGGUAUGAAGUAAGUGCCUGUCGUAGUAAUAGGCACUCAGCCCACUGUAGUCUGUGAGUUGAAAGUUAUUAUUUGAAUGUUUUAUUGGAAUUCCAUACACAAAAAUUAAUAAAAGUACG
RNAcentral lists this long non-coding RNA (821 nucleotides) under Homo sapiens (human). Its description in RNAcentral is "HSALNT0115721". The record is from RNAcentral. Lineage: Eukaryota; Metazoa; Chordata; Mammalia; Primates; Hominidae.